CAUAUCAAUAAGCGGAGGAAAAGAAACCAACAGGGAUUGCCCCAGUAACGGCGAGUGAAGCGGCAACAGCUCAAAUUUGAAAUCUGGUCCCCCCGCGGGGCCCGAGUUGUAAUUUGAAGAGGAUGCUUCUGGCAAGGUGCCGUCCGAGUUCCCUGGAACGGGACGCCGCAGAGGGUGAGAGCCCCGUACGGUCGGACGCCGAGCCUCUGUGAAGCUCCUUCGACGAGUCGAGUAGUUUGGGAAUGCUGCUCAAAAUGGGAGGUAAACCCCUUCUAAAGCUAAAUACCGGCCAGAGACCGAUAGCGCACAAGUAGAGUGAUCGAAAGAUGAAAAGCACUUUGAAAAGAGAGUUAAAAAGCACGUGAAAUUGUUGAAAGGGAAGCGCUUGCGACCAGACUCGCGCCCGUCGGAUCAGCCGUCGCUCGUCGGCGGCGCACUCCGGCGGGCUCGGGCCAGCAUCAGUUCGCCUCGGGGGGAGAAAGGCGGCGGGAAUGUGGCUCUACGGAGUGUUAUAGCCCGCCGCGUAAUACCCCCGGGCGGACUGAGGACCGCGCGUAUGCAAGGAUGCUGGCGUAAUGGUCGUCAGCGA
This 589-nucleotide ribosomal RNA is filed under the name Microascus cirrosus. Its description in RNAcentral is "eukaryotic LSU rRNA". It matches the Rfam family "Eukaryotic large subunit ribosomal RNA", at positions 39 to 647 of the family's 3401-position model. Lineage: Eukaryota; Fungi; Ascomycota; Sordariomycetes; Microascales; Microascaceae. The record is from RNAcentral.